CGGGACGGGUGAGUAACACGUGGAUAAUCUGCCCUACACAGGGGGACAACAGCUAGAAAUGGCUGCUAAUACCGCAUAAGCCUACAGCCUCGCAUGAGGGAGCAGGAAAAGAAAUUCGGUGCAGGAUGAGUCCGCGUCUGAUUAGCUAGUUGGAGGGGUAAAAGCCCACCAAGGCAACGAUCAGUAGCCGGCCUGAGAGGGCGACCGGCCACAUUGGGACUGAGACACGGCCCAAACUCCUACGGAAGGCAGCAG
This 255-nucleotide ribosomal RNA is filed under the name uncultured bacterium. RNAcentral's name for it is "partial 16S ribosomal RNA". It matches the Rfam family "Bacterial small subunit ribosomal RNA", at positions 98 to 354 of the family's 1533-position model. The record is from RNAcentral.